Molecule: unclassified non-coding RNA, 83 nt
Organism: Ictidomys tridecemlineatus (thirteen-lined ground squirrel)
Lineage: Eukaryota; Metazoa; Chordata; Mammalia; Rodentia; Sciuridae
Source: Ensembl
GGCUCUGUCCUCCUGGACAUGCCGAAGGACCGAUGCUGGGACCUUCUCCUGAAGGCGGCCACUUUGCCUGGUCCCCAAGCAUG